Long non-coding RNA from Apodemus sylvaticus (European woodmouse), 638 nucleotides. RefSeq lists it as uncharacterized. NCBI's taxonomy places the organism in Eukaryota, Metazoa, Chordata, Mammalia, Rodentia, Muridae. The transcript has 3 exons. The record is from RefSeq and is a predicted model, not a curated record.
CUUCUUCUUCUUCUUCUUCUUCUUCUUCUUCUUCUUUUAUUUCUUCUUCUCCGUCUUCCUUUUCAUCUUCUUUUUCAUCUUCUUCUCCUAUUUGCCUCCUUCACUUCUCCUCCUCCUCUUCCUCCUCCACAUCUUCUCCUCCUCCUCCUCCUUUGGGAUUUACUUGAUCCUUCCCAGAAGAAUCUCUACAAAGAUGUGAUGCUGGAGACCUACUGGAACCUCAAUGUUAUAGGUUCCUAUUGGGAAGACCAUCAUAUUGAAGAACAAGGUCAAACUUCUUGAAGUCCUGAAAGAAUAAUGAUACCUAAAGCCUAAUGCUGGGGAGAAGAAAAGUAGAUGGUGCUUCAGUUCCCAGGCUUGGAGUCUGAGGUUGAGACCAUGAAGGAGAGAGAAGAUGAAGAAAGAAGACUGUGCCAUGGGGCAGGUGGAUUGGCCAGGAGGACUGGCCUGGUGUAUGAGCAGUCUAGGUAGAACAUGGAAAAUGAUAUCUCACAGCUAUUAACAGGAACUAUACAAAAUAGUCAGUCCAACUGCAAUAAUUUAAAUCUUAUUAUAAAUACCAAGUCCUUUGUGCUAUAUUUGGUACCUUUUUGAUUCAAGUGUGGUAAUAAAUAAAUAAAUAAUAUUUACCACAUCAA